CUGAAGGGGAGCUUCCCGGAGAACCUGAGACACCUUAAGAACACCAUGGAGACCAUAGACUGGAAGGUCUUUGAGAGCUGGAUGCACCAUUGGCUCCUGUUUGAAAUGAGCAGGCACUCCUUGGAGCAAAAGCCCACUGACGCUCCACCGAAAGGUACAGGGAUGCCAGGAAGAGGUCAGCCACAUCCCUGCUGUCCACCCGGGUUCAUUCAGGCCCAAGUGCGACGAGAACGGCAACUAUCUGCCACUCCAGUGCUAUGGGAGCAUCGGCUACUGCUGGUGUGUCUUCCCCAACGGCACGGAGGUCCCCAACACCAGAAGCCGCGGGCACCAUAACUGCAGUGAGUCACUGGAACUGGAGGACCCGUCUUCUGGGCUGGGUGUGACCAAGCAGGAUCUGGGCCCAGUCCCCAUGUGAGAGCAGCAGAGGCGGUCUUCAACAUCCUGCCAGCCCCACACAGCUACAGCUUUCUUGCUCCCUUCAGCCCCCAGCCCCUCCCCCAUCUCCCACCCUGUACCUCAUCCCAUGAGACCCUGGUGCCUGGCUCUUUCGUCACCCUUGGACAAGACAAACCAAGUCGGAACAGCAGAUAACAAUGCAGCAAGGCCCUGCUGCCCAAUCUCCAUCUGUCAACAGGGGCGUGAGGUCCCAGGAAGUGGCCAAAAGCUAGACAGAUCCCCGUUCCUGACAUCACAGCAGCCUCCAACACAAGGCUCCAAGACCUAGGCUCAUGGACGAGAUGGGAAGGCACAGGGAGAAGGGAUAACCCUACACCCAGACCCCAGGCUGGACAUGCUGACUGUCCUCUCCCCUCCAGCCUUUGGCCUUGGCUUUUCUAGCCUAUUUACCUGCAGGCUGAGCCACUCUCUUCCCUUUCCCCAGCAUCACUCCCCAAGGAAGAGCCAAUGUUUUCCACCCAUAAUCCUUUCUGCCGACCCCUAGUUCCCUCUGCUCAGCCAAGCUUGUUAUCAGCUUUCAGGGCCAUGGUUCACAUUAGAAUAAAAGGU
Molecule: long non-coding RNA, 1008 nt
Filed under: Homo sapiens (human)
Lineage: Eukaryota; Metazoa; Chordata; Mammalia; Primates; Hominidae
Description: long non-coding RNA NONHSAT204868.1
Source: RNAcentral